Molecule: non-coding RNA, 54 nt
Organism: Salmo salar (Atlantic salmon)
Lineage: Eukaryota; Metazoa; Chordata; Actinopteri; Salmoniformes; Salmonidae
Source: Rfam
UUUGCAAGGCAUUGUACAUUGCUUUGGAUAAAAGCAUCUGCUAAAUGGCAUAUA